UACGUAGGGUGCGAGCGUUGUCCGGAAUUAUUGGGCGUAAAGCGCGCGCAGGCGGUCCUUUAAGUCUGAUGUGAAAGCCCACGGCUCAACCGUGGAGGGUCAUUGGAAACUGGGGGACUUGAGUGCAGAAGAGGAAAGCGGAAUUCCACGUGUAGCGGUGAAAUGCGUAGAGAUGUGGAGGAACACCAGUGGCGAAGGCGGCUUUCUGGUCUGUAACUGACACUGAGGCGCGAAAGCGUGGGGAGCAAACAGG
Molecule: ribosomal RNA, 253 nt
Filed under: uncultured bacterium
Lineage: Bacteria
Description: partial 16S ribosomal RNA
Rfam family: Bacterial small subunit ribosomal RNA
Source: RNAcentral